This 253-nucleotide ribosomal RNA is filed under the name uncultured bacterium. RNAcentral describes it as "partial 16S ribosomal RNA". It matches the Rfam family "Bacterial small subunit ribosomal RNA", at positions 524 to 776 of the family's 1533-position model. The record is from RNAcentral.
UACGUAGGGUGCAAGCGUUGUCCGGAAUUAUUGGGCGUAAAGAGCUUGUAGGCGGUUUGUCGCGUCUGCUGUGAAAUUUCGGGGCUCAACCCCGAACUUGCAGUGGGUACGGGCAGACUAGAGUGUGGUAGGGGAGACUGGAAUUCCUGGUGUAGCGGUGAAAUGCGCAGAUAUCAGGAGGAACACCGAUGGCGAAGGCAGGUCUCUGGGCCAUAACUGACGCUGAGAAGCGAAAGCAUGGGGGGCGAACAGG